UCCAGUACGUCUCCUCUCUCAUUUUCUUCUUUCUCUCUCUCCACUCUCUUCUCCCUCACGGCCUUCCCCCUUCUCUCUCUNUCUCUCCCUCCCUUCGAGCUCAGAUCGCUGGCGGAGCGCCGCCGCCUCGGCCUCGUCGCCUUCGCCAUCUCCUGCUUCGCCCUCCGCCGCGAAGCGCCGCAGUCCCCGGCCUCGUCGCCUCCGCCAUCUCUCUCUCUCUCUCUCGCCACAGCGCUCCACCCAAUCCCUACAGCCACCGUAGAGCCCUCCACCACCGAGGCUAGCCGUGACAACCACCACCACGGAACCCCCCAAAACUCAGCCCCUCGCGCCGCCUAGGGUUUCAUUCCCUUAGAGCGGCGCCGCCUCUGCUCACCUUCCGGCCGAACAAUGCAGCGCCAGCAGACAUCCCCAGCCACGACAACUUUCGGCGAGCCUUCUCCCCAGGCAAAAUCGCCGGUCAAAAAAAGAAGGAGCGCGAACGCGACGCCGCUGCUCUCUGCCUCCACACGAUCUGCACCGCCAGACGCGGCGGCGUCUUCGAUUCUCCUCCGAUACCGAGUUCUGCAGCCCCGAUGAAUUCGACGAUGCUUAAAUCUGUGUACUGUGUUGUAGAUCUAUAAUCUCUCUCCUUAUCUCGCUCUCUCUCUCUCCUUGUAAAAGUAGAUCUGGAAUUUUGUUUGUGACUAUUGCAAAUCUGCUUGAACUUUUGUUUGUGAAUUUUGUUGGCUGUUUGUAGAAGAUUUGGUGUGAGGAGGGUGAUUAGUCAAAUUAAUAUUCUUGGUUUGAUGUUUGGAGAUUUUGUUGGUUUGAUGUUUUUGAUUAUUAUGUACGAAGAACUUUGUAUGUAUGAAGAACUUUUUGAUUAGUUUUUGUUAGUAUGUACGAAGAAUUUUUGUAUGAGAUG
RNAcentral lists this long non-coding RNA (907 nucleotides) under Salvia miltiorrhiza (redroot sage). RNAcentral's name for it is "long non-coding RNA (SMIL_LNC009784)". Lineage: Eukaryota; Viridiplantae; Streptophyta; Magnoliopsida; Lamiales; Lamiaceae. The record is from RNAcentral.